This is a non-coding RNA of Agelaius phoeniceus (red-winged blackbird), 948 nucleotides long. The record is from RefSeq and is a predicted model, not a curated record. Lineage: Eukaryota; Metazoa; Chordata; Aves; Passeriformes; Icteridae.
UUUAAUACAGCUAAGGAAUGGAUCAAGGUCUGCAAGCAUCUGUGCAAGCAUAGGUACUGUUUCUAGCUGUACUGAAUGCAAGAUGUAUUUUGAUUCCAAAAAUGAAACCUAAAACUUGUUGAGUGUUGAAAAGAAAACAAAAUCACAAGAAAAGAAGAAAUUAAGAGAGCUCUCAAUACAGACCCUUCCAAGUUACUGGCUUCAGCUCCAUCACAACAUCCUUACAUGUGUUGGUGGUAUCUUGACUAAACCAUGCUGGUGCACACUGAAUUGGAGAGUCAGGUUAAAAAACACCCAAACAGCACAACAAUGAACAAACAAAACCAAGUCAAACAAAUUACUUUUCUCGAGAAGCUGUAUUUUAUGUGUGUGUCACAAACAUAGCACAGAAUGAGGAGCAAGGUUUAUAUUCUCUACAGCUUUGUCUUUCAUCACCUGACAUUUUCAUAUCUCAUUUUUAAGUCUUUCCAUGACUGAUGGUAUUAUAAAAUAUUGGUAUCAUGUAUUUUGGAUUUCUUUUUCAAUUAGUUUACUUAGCUUAUUUCUUAAAUGGCAAUCCAGAGAACAGUUGAAGGAGCAAAUGGAAAAUUUCAGAGCUGCUACCACUCUUUUGUCUUCAUUUUGGGAUCAAGUAUUCAAAACCAGACAUCAACUGAGAGGACAUCACAAACAAAUCUAUUGUGAAGAAACAACAAACCCACAAAUGAAAGAGAAUAAAAAAGCCUGAAGAUAAUCCUGUGUGUUUCAACAAAAAAGCAACUUGAAAGAAGGAUUCAGGCUAAUUUAAGUGUAGCAUGUACAGUAGGUAUGAUCGGUAUUAUAGCAAAACUUGCUAUUUUGUUUCUUAAUUGCAGAAUAUUUGGCACAUAUAUUUAUUUGCUGAUUUACUUACAUAUUUUUGUAAGAAAGUUGCUCUUUGAUAGCCUAAAUAAAAAUAGCUGCCUCCUA